Molecule: ribosomal RNA, 492 nt
Filed under: uncultured bacterium
Lineage: Bacteria
Description: partial 16S ribosomal RNA
Rfam family: Bacterial small subunit ribosomal RNA
Source: RNAcentral
AGUGAACGCUGGCGGUAGGCCUAACACAUGCAAGUCGAACGGCAGCACAGUAAGAGCUUGCUCUUACGGGUGGCGAGUGGCGGACGGGUGAGGAAUACAUCGGAAUCUACUCUUUCGUGGGGGAUAACGUAGGGAAACUUACGCUAAUACCGCAUACGACCUACGGGUGAAAGCAGGGGAUCUUCGGACCUUGCGCGAUUGAAUGAGCCGAUGUCGGAUUAGCUAGUUGGCGGGGUAAAGGCCCACCAAGGCGACGAUCCGUAGCUGAUCUGAGAGGAUGAUCAGCCACACUGGAACUGAGACACGGUCCAGACUCCUACGGGAGGCAGCAGUGGGGAAUAUUGGACAAUGGGCGCAAGCCUGAUCCAGCCAUACCGCGUGGGUGAAGAAGGCCUUCGGGUUGUAAAGCCCUUUUGUUGGGAAAGAAAAGCAGCAGGUUAAUACCCCGCUGUUCUGACGGUACCCAAAGAAUAAGCACCGGCUAACUUCGUG